This 1202-nucleotide long non-coding RNA is filed under the name Setaria viridis. RNAcentral describes it as "long non-coding RNA (SVIR_LNC005214)". The record is from RNAcentral. Lineage: Eukaryota; Viridiplantae; Streptophyta; Magnoliopsida; Poales; Poaceae.
AAUUCUUCCAACGCCGUACAUGAAUGGAGGUUCCGUUGACUUCCAAUCUCGCCUCCUUCUCCUUCCAAUCUCACCUCCCUCCCCCUUCCAAUCUUGAUUCCCAGCUGCUGUGGCAUCGCCGCGUCGCCAGCGCUGCACUGGAGCCCGAUGGCUGGCAGAGAGAGGAAGGGAGGUCCCAAGAAGCAUCUGACUGUAGUGCAAAUUUCCCCAAUUUUACUGCUGACUGUAGUUGAAUUUUACUCUGAUCUCUAGCCUUCCUGAUUAAAAUAGCACUUCCAUGUUUCUUUAACGGAUUGACUGUAGUUGAAUUUCCCCAAAUAUGAUCUUUGAUGUAUCAAUAAACUAUAUCUUUAGAGCAUAUAUGGUUUUGAUCUGUAACAGUGCUCACAGUUGACACUCCAGGGAUCUCGCGAACUGGAAAAUGGAAGUAAAAUUGCUACAAGUUUACAAUUCCCUGUUGAUUCAGGACACAAGUAAUAUGACUGAUGAAGAGAAGGCUAGCCGAGUGAAGACAUUGCAAUGGAUGCAGAAGAAGAUCAUGGCUUUGAUGAGGAAGCAUGAGGUAUACAUAGCACUUUCUGAAAUUGUUCUAUAGAUUGUAGAAAAUCUGUCUCUGAAGUCAUAAUUAGCAUGCAGCCAUCCUUUUCAAAAAUGGAAAUUCAAUAUGCAACCAGCCAGCCAAAACAAAACUCUAUCUCUUAUGUCUGAACUUACUGCAUUCAAUUAAGAGCCUACGCUUAUGACUGCAAUUCAUCAUCUGCAUGAACAGAGGCAAAGGCAUGCUUAUGACAGCAUGACAGUAGCUAAUUGGAUUGUUCUUUUCGCAAAAUAAUUAGUAGCUACUUGUUUGUUCUUGUCUCACCUAGAAGAUGUAGCUUCAAUUGUUCAGUUAGCGCUGAAUCUGUUUUUAGAGCUUCAGUUCAAUUGUUCAUUUGUCUCUUUUUGCAAAAGUGGUUCUUGACAGUACCUACUUGUUUUUGGAGCUCGGUUUGUUUAGAUGGUCUGUUUCAGUAUCUUGAAGGCUUACAAUAUUUUGAUGUGCUAUUUUCAGUGGACAAAGUGGCAGGAAACAGGAAGAUGGAAGACAGUGGGUUUUUAAGUUUCUCAUUAUGUUAGUUUCAGUGGCAAUGGGAACUUUAGUUUGAAUCUGAACUGAAUGUAUGAGGUGGGCAAUUUAUUCCGAAUCUGAGACUGCACGUAUG